UGCCAGCAGCCGCGGUAAUACGAAUGGAGCGAGCGUUGUUCGGAAUCAUUGGGCGUAAAGCGUAUGUAGGCGGACUGAUUAGUCAGACGUGAAAUCCCGAGGCUCAACCUCGGAAUUGCGUUUGAUACUGUCAGUCUAGUGUCCCGGAGGGGUUGACGGAAUUCCUAGUGUAGAGGUGAAAUUCGCAGAUAUUAGGAGGAACACCAGUGGCGUAGGCGGUCAACUGGACGGGUACAGACGCUGAGAUACGAAAGCGUGGGGAGCAAACAGGAUUAGAUA
This 279-nucleotide ribosomal RNA is filed under the name uncultured bacterium. RNAcentral describes it as "partial 16S ribosomal RNA". It matches the Rfam family "Bacterial small subunit ribosomal RNA", at positions 506 to 784 of the family's 1533-position model. The record is from RNAcentral.